UGAAUCAAAUAGGCGUAGGUGGGGAACCGCCUGAACUGAAACAUCUAAGUAGGGCGAGGAAGAGAAAUCAACAGAGAUUCCGCAAGUAGUGGCGAGCGAACGCGGAAGAGGGCAAACCGGAGGAUUUAUCCUCCGGGGUUGUGGACCGACACAACGGCAGGAUAGGUUAGCCGAACGGUAUGGGAAGGCCGGCCAUAGCGGGUGAGAGCCCCGUAGGCGAAAACCGGAUCCUGUUAGUCGAGUUCCAGAGUACCGCCGGACACGUGAAACCCGGUGGGAAACUGGGGGGACCACCCUCCAACCCUAAAUACUACCUGAUGACCGAUAGAGGAGCAGUACCGUGAGGGAAAGGUGAAAAGGACCCCGGGAGGGGAGUGAAAGAGAACCUGAAACCUUGUGCUUACAAGCACUCAAAGCCCGUUAAAGGGUGAUGAGGUACCUUUUGUAGAAUGGUCCGGCGAGUUAUUGUUACUGGCAAGCUUAAGGUAUUCAGUACCGGAGGCGAAGGGAAACCGAGUGUGAACAGCGCGUAUGAAG
This 537-nucleotide ribosomal RNA is filed under the name Flavonifractor sp. An91. RNAcentral's name for it is "bacterial LSU rRNA". It matches the Rfam family "Bacterial large subunit ribosomal RNA", at positions 159 to 699 of the family's 2925-position model. Lineage: Bacteria; Bacillati; Bacillota; Clostridia; Eubacteriales; Oscillospiraceae. The record is from RNAcentral.